RNAcentral lists this ribosomal RNA (620 nucleotides) under Oenococcus oeni. Its description in RNAcentral is "bacterial SSU rRNA". It matches the Rfam family "Bacterial small subunit ribosomal RNA", at positions 49 to 636 of the family's 1533-position model. Lineage: Bacteria; Bacillati; Bacillota; Bacilli; Lactobacillales; Lactobacillaceae. The record is from RNAcentral.
UAAUACAUGCAAGUCGUACGCUAGCCGCUGAAUUGAUCCUUCGGGUGAAGUGAGGCAAUGACUAGAGUGGCGAACUGGUGAGUAACACGUAAGAAACCUGCCCUUUAGUGGGGGAUAACAUUUGGAAACAGAUGCUAAUACCGCGUAACAACAAAUCACACAUGUGAUCUGUUUGAAAGGUCCUUUUGGAUCGCUAGAGGAUGGUCUUGCGGCGUAUUAGCUUGUUGGUAGGGUAGAAGCCUACCAAGGCAAUGAUGCGUAGCCGAGUUGAGAGACUGGCCGGCCACAUUGGGACUGAGACACUGCCCAAACUCCUACGGGAGGCUGCAGUAGGGAAUUUUCCGCAAUGCACGAAAGUGUGACGGAGCGACGCCGCGUGUGUGAUGAAGGCUUUCGGGUCGUAAAGCACUGUUGUAAGGGAAGAAUAACUGAAUUCAGAGAAAGUUUUCAGCUUGACGGUACCUUACCAGAAAGGGAUGGCUAAAUACGUGCCAGCAGCCGCGGUAAUACGUAUGUCCCGAGCGUUAUCCGGAUUUAUUGGGCGUAAAGCGAGCGCAGACGGUUUAUUAAGUCUGAUGUGAAAUCCCGAGGCCCAACCUCGGAACUGCAUUGGAAACUGA